RNAcentral lists this ribosomal RNA (468 nucleotides) under uncultured bacterium. RNAcentral describes it as "partial 16S ribosomal RNA". It matches the Rfam family "Bacterial small subunit ribosomal RNA", at positions 28 to 507 of the family's 1533-position model. The record is from RNAcentral.
GACGAACGCUGGCGGCGUGCUUAACACAUGCAAGUCGAACGGAAAGGCCCUGCUUUUGUGGGGUGCUCGAGUGGCGAACGGGUGAGUAACACGUGAGUAACCUGCCCUUGACUUUGGGAUAACUUCAGGAAACUGGGGCUAAUACCGGAUAGGAGCUCCUGCUGCAUGGUGGGGGUUGGAAAGUUUCGGCGGUUGGGGAUGGACUCGCGGCUUAUCAGCUUGUUGGUGGGGUAGUGGCUUACCAAGGCUUUGACGGGUAGCCGGCCUGAGAGGGUGACCGGCCCAAAUUGGACUGGGGUACCGGCCAGGCCCCUUACGGGGGGAAGAGGGGGGGAUAAUUGCACAUGGGCGGGAGGCUUGAGGAGCAAACGCGGGGGGGGGGAGGAGGGCUUUGGGUUGGAAACCGCUUUCGGCCGGGAAGAAGGGGGGGGGGCGGGAAUUGGGUAAGAAGCACCGGCUAACUACGUG